Sphaerodactylus townsendi is the source of this 416-nucleotide long non-coding RNA. RefSeq lists it as uncharacterized. The record is from RefSeq and is a predicted model, not a curated record. NCBI's taxonomy places the organism in Eukaryota, Metazoa, Chordata, Lepidosauria, Squamata, Sphaerodactylidae. The transcript has 2 exons.
AGCCACGGGUAUUUCGGCUAAUGUUCCGAGCGAAAGGGGAAAGCCCGGGCUUUAAAAAUCCUGGAUUAUUAUUAUUUGUUGUUUUUUCUUCCCACCCGCCCCCCCUUCCUUCCUCUGUGUCUCUUUGAAAGCACACAAACAUUGGAACCGUGGGUGUCUCUCUCUCUCCUCUCCCCCCCCUUUCCCUCUCCCUUCUUUUCUUGUUUGGAGGCCUUUUUAAAAAGUCCCCACCGUGUUGACACGGAUGACAGUGAAGAUCUCUUGCUUCCUCCUCACCCCCAAGAUUCGAAACCUUCCGGACUUCCAGGAGGAUCUUCACAAGUAACUGCCACUAUUGUUGACAAACAUACCUUCUGCUUUUAAUCUGUCCUAAUUGUUUUUUUUAAAAAAAGAUUAAAGCUUCUUAUCGCCCUAAA